This 67-nucleotide transfer RNA is filed under the name Pterygoplichthys pardalis (Amazon sailfin catfish). Its description in RNAcentral is "tRNA-Cys". Lineage: Eukaryota; Metazoa; Chordata; Actinopteri; Siluriformes; Loricariidae. RNAcentral also lists the same sequence under 3 other names. The record is from RNAcentral.
AGCCUUGUGGUGUUUGGCACGUCAGAUUGCAAAUCUGAAGGAGCAGACUAAUUACCUGCCGGGGCUU